UACUCAAAUGAAUUAAUAUCUCUCAUUAAUCAAUAAUACUAAUCUGAUCAUAAUUUUACAUACAAAAUAAACUCACAAAUGAACGAACAAACAAACAAACUUAAGAGUUACAUUACACCAAACAAAAAACGAGGGCUGCUACGGAGGCGAAGAAGGUGGGAAUGAAGGUGGCGGGGGUGGCGUCAGAGGUGGGGGCGGGAGCCGGAGGAUCGGCGGCGGAGAUACCAUUGACGGAGGAGAGUGCUAUCAACAUGAUGACCAUCAAGGCAGUUGCCAGCAUCUUCAUCUUCAUGGCCUUCAUUACUUCUUCAAACAGAUAAGUAUGCAUAUAUAUAGAGAGAGGGCUACAAAUACAAUCCCUCUUUCUAGAAAAUGUAAGCUAUAAAUAGAGAUAGGAAGUGGCUGAAUAUGUAUAUAUAGAUGGAUUCGUGGAGUUUGAGGUUAAAAAAGUUGAUUUGAUUGCUGUUUUCCUUUUUCUUGGUUAAUAAUUAUUUCUUUUCACUAUUAUAAUCUACUUAUUUGAACAAAAG
RNAcentral lists this long non-coding RNA (530 nucleotides) under Olea europaea subsp. europaea. Lineage: Eukaryota; Viridiplantae; Streptophyta; Magnoliopsida; Lamiales; Oleaceae. The record is from RNAcentral.